This 24-nucleotide non-coding RNA is filed under the name Gossypium hirsutum (cotton). Lineage: Eukaryota; Viridiplantae; Streptophyta; Magnoliopsida; Malvales; Malvaceae. The record is from RNAcentral.
AGUGUCACGGAACAAAUGUCUUGA